This 553-nucleotide ribosomal RNA is filed under the name Salmonella enterica subsp. enterica serovar Enteritidis. RNAcentral's name for it is "bacterial SSU rRNA". It matches the Rfam family "Bacterial small subunit ribosomal RNA", at positions 807 to 1360 of the family's 1533-position model. The record is from RNAcentral. Lineage: Bacteria; Pseudomonadati; Pseudomonadota; Gammaproteobacteria; Enterobacterales; Enterobacteriaceae.
CGAUGUCUACUUGGAGGUUGUGCCCUUGAGGCGUGGCUUCCGGAGCUAACGCGUUAAGUAGACCGCCUGGGGAGUACGGCCGCAAGGUUAAAACUCAAAUGAAUUGACGGGGGCCCGCACAAGCGGUGGAGCAUGUGGUUUAAUUCGAUGCAACGCGAAGAACCUUACCUGGUCUUGACAUCCACAGAAGAAUCCAGAGAUGGAUUUGUGCCUUCGGGAACUGUGAGACAGGUGCUGCAUGGCUGUCGUCAGCUCGUGUUGUGAAAUGUUGGGUUAAGUCCCGCAACGAGCGCAACCCUUAUCCUUUGUUGCCAGCGGUUAGGCCGGGAACUCAAAGGAGACUGCCAGUGAUAAACUGGAGGAAGGUGGGGAUGACGUCAAGUCAUCAUGGCCCUUACGACCAGGGCUACACACGUGCUACAAUGGCGCAUACAAAGAGAAGCGACCUCGCGAGAGCAAGCGGACCUCAUAAAGUGCGUCGUAGUCCGGAUUGGAGUCUGCAACUCGACUCCAUGAAGUCGGAAUCGCUAGUAAUCGUGGAUCAGAAUGCCAC